RNAcentral lists this ribosomal RNA (323 nucleotides) under uncultured eukaryote. RNAcentral's name for it is "partial 18S ribosomal RNA". It matches the Rfam family "Eukaryotic small subunit ribosomal RNA", at positions 1470 to 1796 of the family's 1831-position model. The record is from RNAcentral.
CCCUUAGAUGUUCUGGGCUGCACGCGUGCUACACUGAUAUUGCUAAUAUGUCAUUCUUAUCCGAAAUGGAUUGGGUAAUCAAGUAAUGAAAUUUCAUGCUUGGAAUCGGUAAUUGCAAUUUUAUCGUGAACGAGGAAUUCCUAGUAAGCACUAGUCAUCAGCUAAUGUUGAUUAUGUCCCUGCCCUUUGUACACACCGCCCGUCGCUACUACUGAUUGGGUGUUCAAGUGAGAUGCUUAGACCCUUGUUGCAUGGUUCAUUAUUGUGCUCCGAAAGGAAAAAGUUUCAAGCUUGAGUGUCUAGAGGAAGUAAAAGUCGUAACA